AACGAACGCUGGCGGCGUGUUUAAGACAUGCAAGUCGCACGGAAUCAAUUUGGUAGUAAUACUCGAUUGGUUCAGUGGCGCACGGGUGAGUAACAUGUGAAUUACAUGCCCUUCAGUGGGGAAUAGCCCAGGGAAACUUGGAUUAAUACCCCAUGGUAUCGCAAGAUUAAAGGUGGCCAGCAAUGGCUGUCGCUGAAGGAUUGGUUCGCACCCUAUCAGCUUGUUGGUGAGGUAACGGCUCACCAAGGCUACGACGGGUACCUGGUCUGAGAGGACGAUCAGGCACACUGGAACUGAGACACGGUCCAGACACCUACGGGUGGCAGCAGUCGAGAAUAAUUCACAAUGGGGGCAACCCUGAUGGUGCAACGCCGCGUGGAGGAUGACGGUCUUCGGAUUGUAAACUCCUGUCAUCCGGGAGUAAGACCUGGUCGUUAAUAGCGAACAGGGUUGAUAGUACCGGAAGAGGAAGGGACGGCUAACUUCGUGC
Molecule: ribosomal RNA, 490 nt
Filed under: uncultured bacterium
Lineage: Bacteria
Description: bacterial SSU rRNA
Rfam family: Bacterial small subunit ribosomal RNA
Source: RNAcentral